UUAAGAUACUAAGAGCAUACGGUGGAUGCCUUGGCGAUAUCUGCCGACGAAGGACGUGACAAGCUGCGAAAAGCUGCGGAGAGAUGCAAAUAAUCGGCGACCCGCAGACAUCCGAAUGGAGCAAUCCGGCUGUGAUGAUGCACAGCCAUCCAUGCCCAAGAGCAUGAGAAGGGAACCGGGCGAACUGAAACAUCUAAGUAACCCGAGGAAAAGAAAUCAAACGAGAUACCCCAAGUAGCGGCGAGCGAACAGGGAAGAAGCCCAAACCGGUGAAGGAAACUUUACCGGGGUUGAGGACCAUCAGACCCGCGAAGAACCUUAGCCGAAACUGUUGGGAAACAGUGCCGAAGACAGUGAAAGCCUGGUAGGCGAAAAAGAGAAACGCGGAGAUGGCACCAGAGUACCGCGGGACACGAGAAAUCCCGUGGGAAGCCGGGGGGACCACCCUCCAAGGCAAAACACAGAUAUCGACCGAUAGCGCAUAGUACCAUGAGGGAAAGGUGAAAAGCACCCCGGGAGGGGAAUGAAAGAGAACCUGAAACCGUAUGUUUACAAGCAGUCGGAGACCGCUUAAUAAUAAGGUCGACGGCGUGCCUAUUGAAGAAUGAACCGGCGAGUUACGAAGCCUGGCAAGGUUAAGCAGGAAAUGCGGAGCCGAAGCGAAAGCGAGUCUUAAGAGGGCGCAAGUCAGGAAGCGUAGACCCGAAACCACAGUGAUCUACCCAUGUCCAGGUUGAAACACAGGUAAAAAUGUGUGGAGGACCGAACCUAUAUCCGUUGAAAAGGGUUAGGAUGAGGUGUGGGUAGGGGUGAAAUUCCAAUCGAACGUGGAGAUAGCUGGUUCUCCCCGAAAUAGCUUUAGGGCUAGCCUCAGGGAAAAGAUUGCAGGCGGUAGAGCACUGAUCAGGAGAGGGACCUACCCGGUUACCAAACCCAGUCAAACUCCGAAUGGCUGCAAUCAUACCUGGGAGUCAGACUGCGACUAAUAAGGGCCGUAGUCAAAAGGGAAACAGCCCAGACCAUCAGCUAAGGUCCCCAAUGCCGUGCUAAGUGGCGAAGGAUGUGGCAUUUCAUAAACAACCAGGAUGUUGGCUCAGAAGCAGCCACCAUUUAAAGAGUGCGUAAUAGCUCACUGGUCGAGAGACGCUGCGCCGAAAAUGUCCGGGGCUCAAGCACGGAACCGAAGCUAUGGCAUGAUAGCAAUAUCAUGGGUAGGGGAGCGUUCUUAUAAGGAAGAAGCAUGACCGGAAGGACAUGUGGACAAAUAAGAAGUGAGAAUGCCGGUAUGAGUAUCGAAAAGAAAGGUGAGAAUCCUUUCCACCGAAAGCCCGAGGGUUCCUGAGCAACGAUCGUCGACUCAGGGUAAGUCGGGACCUAAGCCGAGGCGAAAAGCGUAGGCGAUGGACAACAGGUUGAAAUUCCUGUACCGGAUCAAGUCGAUCGAGCGAAGGAGCGACGCAGGAGGGCACAUGAUCGCGCGGCUGGAAGAGCGCGUCCAAGUGCGUAUGUUGCAGCAGAGGAAAACCCCUGCAGCUAAAAGCAGAGACAUGAUGGGGAGUUAAAGGAAACUUUGACGAACUCAUGAAUCCCACACUGCCAAGAAAAACUUCUAGCGAGACAAGAUCCGCCCGUACCGUAAACCGACACAGGUAGGCGGGGAGAGAAUCCUAAGGUGCGCGGGAAAACCCUCGUUAAGGAACUCGGCAAAUUGCAUCCGUAACCUAGGGAGAAGGAUGGCCCCCGGUCAGUGAAGAGCAGAAACGCUCAGAGCUAAAAGGGGCGGCAGAAAAGAGGCCCAAGCAACUGUUUACCAAAAACACAGGUGCCUGCGAAAGCGAAAGCUGAAGUAUAGGUGCUGACGCCUGCCCGGUGCCGGAAGGUUAAGGAGAGAAGUUAGCGAAAGCGAAGCAUCGAACUGAAGCCCCGGUGAACGGCGGCCGUAACUAUAACGGUCCUAAGGUAGCGAAAUUCCUUGUCGGGUAAG
RNAcentral lists this ribosomal RNA (1984 nucleotides) under human gut metagenome. Its description in RNAcentral is "bacterial LSU rRNA". It matches the Rfam family "Bacterial large subunit ribosomal RNA", at positions 1 to 1980 of the family's 2925-position model. The record is from RNAcentral.